GUAAGGAAUAUUGGACAAUGGACGCAAGUCUGAUCCAGCCAUGCCGCGUGAAGGAUUAAGGUCCUCUGGAUUGUAAACUUCUUUUAUAAGGGACGAAAAAAGGCUUUUCUAAGUCGUCUGACGGUACCUUAUGAAUAAGCACCGGCUAACUCCGUGCCAGCAGCCGCGGUAAUACGGAGGGUGCAAGCGUUAUCCGGAUUCACUGGGUUUAAAGGGUGCGUAGGCGGGCAGGUAAGUCAGUGGUGAAAUCCUAGAGCUUAACUCUAGAACUGCCAUUGAUACUAUCUGUCUUGAAUAUUGUGGAGGUAAGCGGAAUAUGUCAUGUAGCGGUGAAAUGCUUAGAUAUGACAUAGAACACCUAUUGCGAAGGCAGCUUACUACGCAUAUAUUGACGCUGAGGCACGAAAGCGUGGGGAUCAAACAGGAUUAGAAACCCCGGUAGUCC
This 445-nucleotide ribosomal RNA is filed under the name uncultured bacterium. RNAcentral describes it as "bacterial SSU rRNA". It matches the Rfam family "Bacterial small subunit ribosomal RNA", at positions 354 to 796 of the family's 1533-position model. The record is from RNAcentral.